GUGUUUGUUAUGUUUAUUUUAAAUGCUCAUCAAAUUGACUUGAUAAAAAAAGGCAUUUUACAAAUAUGUAUAUAUUGUGUCAAACUCCCAUAAUGUGUUAAUAAUGGUACAACCCUGUAAAAGUUAAGUUACUGUUAAACUAUUAAGCAUCUGAAGGUAUAAGAUAGGAAGCAAGAUGGAGGGUCAGAAAAAAAAGAGGGUUGCCAUAUUUUCUUACACACAAAAUUGCGUGCUUGUGUCACGUGUGGUUGGCAAUUGGGAUCGGCUUUAUGGUCAAAGAUCUCGGAUGAUGUCCCAAUCUAAAAAAAAUGCUAUAUGGAGUAGCACAGUGGAGCAAGUGGAUGCAUCCGGGGAUACCGCCUGAACCAUUGACACCUGCAAACGUCGCAUUGUGGAUAUCAAAACUCAAAUAAAAAAAAAAUUGACCGCCAUUGCAAAGCACCAAAGAGGCACAGAGGAGGCCCACCAGUGGAAGUAAAUUUCAGUACAUACGAGGAGGAAUUAAAGGGGUGCCUUGGGCCAGAUACCAUCCUCGGAGUACCAGGAGAAUACGACUCCGAUGCCCAUAUGUUACAAGAACCAUUAAAUGAUCAAGAGCCUGCCAGCGACCACAAGGUGCAACCAGUCCAAGAGGGAGAUCACACCCUAAUGCUAUUUAGUGAUGACGAUAGUAAAAAUGUUGGUGGAGUAUGAAGUAAUGGAGGAUUCAAACCUGUGUGGUAAGUUUAAAACACCCCUUUGUCAACAGAAGAAACUAAUUUAAACUUUGCUAUGUUACAAUAUGAAGAUGUAUUAAUUGGUAUUAAAGUCUACUAUCGCGUGUUCUUUUUAGGGCCCCACCAGGUGGUCUACUUGGCUAGUAUGCGCGGGAUAUUCUCACAAUAUAGCAUGUUUACCUGUGCUCCAGAGCUGCAUUGUAAUUAAUCUGGCACGGGCUUCGUCCAGUCUUGUCGACAGCAAUGUCACUCCCGAGCAUGUGGUUUGUAGUCCCAUCGCAGCGACACAGAUCGGGGCUGUAAAUAUACGUUGAGCCAUGCAUGCGUGGAUCAUUGAGCACACGAUGACUGACAGGGAGGAGGAAGCAUCUAUGACAGAAGAAACCGCUAGAGUCUCUUCUUUCAUGAAUAUCCUGUCUUUCAACAAUUUCAUUAAAAUUGAAGUUUUAUACUAGAGUAUACAUUUAUUGU
This is a long non-coding RNA of Rana temporaria (common frog), 1187 nucleotides long. RefSeq lists it as uncharacterized. The transcript has 3 exons. NCBI's taxonomy places the organism in Eukaryota, Metazoa, Chordata, Amphibia, Anura, Ranidae. The record is from RefSeq and is a predicted model, not a curated record.